CCGGCUAACUACGUGCCAGCAGCGCGGUAAUACGUAGGUUGCAAGCGCUAAUCGGAAUUACUGGGCGUAAAGCGUGCGCAGGCCGUUUUGUAAGACAGGCGUGAAAUCCCCCGGGCUUAACCUGGGAAUGGCGCUUGUGACUGCAAAGCUGGAGUGCGGCAGAGGGGGAUGGAAUUCCACGUGUAGCAGUGAAAUGCGUAGAGAUGUGGAGGAACACCGAUGGCGAAGGCAGCCCCCUGGGUCAAGAUUGACGCUCAUGCACGAAAGCGUGGGGAGCAAACAGGGUUAGAUACCCUGGUAGUCCACGCCCUAAACGAUGUCUACUAGUUGUCGGGUCUUAAUUGACUUGGUAACGCAGCUAACGCGUGAAGUAGACCGCCUGGGGAGUACGGUCGCAAGAUUAAAACUCAAAGGAAUUGACGGGGACCCGCACAAGCGGUGGAUGAUGUGGAUUAAUUCGAUGCAACGCGAAAAACCUUACCUACCCUUGACAUGGCAGGAACCUUGGAGAGAUCUGAGGGUGCCCGAAAGGGAACCUGCACACAGGUGCUGCAUGGCUGUCGUCAGCUCGUGUCGUGAGAUGUUGGGUUAAGUCCCGCAACGAGCGCAACCCUUGUCAUUAGUUGCUACGCAAGAGCACUCUAAUGAGACUGCCGGUGACAAACCGGAGGAAGGUGGGGAUGACGUCAAGUCCUCAUGGCCCUUAUGGGUAGGGCUUCACACGUCAUACAAUGGUACAUACAGAGGGCCGCCAACCCGCGAGGGGGAGCUAAUCCCAGAAAGUGUAUCGUAGUCCGGAUUGUAGUCUGCAACUCGACUACAUGAAGUUGGAAUCGCUAGUAAUCGCGGAUCAGCAUGUCGCGGUGAAUACGUUCCCGGGUCUUGUACACACCGCCCGUCGCACCAUGGGAGCGGGUUUCACCAGAAGUAGGUAGCUUAACCGCAAGGAGGGCGCUUACCACGGUGGGAUUCGUGACUGGGGUGAAGUCGUAACAAGGUAACCAAU
RNAcentral lists this ribosomal RNA (1006 nucleotides) under uncultured Zoogloea sp. RNAcentral's name for it is "bacterial SSU rRNA". It matches the Rfam family "Bacterial small subunit ribosomal RNA", at positions 493 to 1504 of the family's 1533-position model. Lineage: Bacteria; Pseudomonadati; Pseudomonadota; Betaproteobacteria; Rhodocyclales; Zoogloeaceae. The record is from RNAcentral.